CCUACGGGCGGCAGCAGUGGGGAAUAUUGGACAAUGGGGGGAACCCUGAUCCAGCGACGCCGCGUGAGUGAAGAAGUAUUUCGGUAUGUAAAGCUCUAUCAGCAGGGAAGAAAGAAAUUACGGUACCUGACUAAGAAGCCCCGGCUAACUACGUGCCACCAGCCGCGGUAAUACGUAGGGGGCAAGCGUUAUUCGGAUUUACUGGGUGUAAAGGGAGCGUAGACGGCGAUGCAAGUCUGAAGUGAAAGGCGGGGGCCCAACCCCUGGACUGCUUUGGAAACUGUAUGGCUGGAGUGCAGGAGAGGUAAGUGGAAUUCCUAGUGUAGCGGUGAAAUGCGUAGAUAUCAGGAGGAACACCGGUGGCGAAGGCGGCCUGCUGGACUGCAACUGACGUUGAGGCCCGAAAGCGUGGGGAGCAAACAGGAUUAGAUACCCGAGUAGUC
This 443-nucleotide ribosomal RNA is filed under the name uncultured bacterium. RNAcentral's name for it is "partial 16S ribosomal RNA". It matches the Rfam family "Bacterial small subunit ribosomal RNA", at positions 338 to 795 of the family's 1533-position model. The record is from RNAcentral.